CCUACGGGAGGCUGCAGUGAGGAAUAUUGGUCAAUGGACGCAAGUCUGAACCAGCCAUGCCGCGUGCAGGAAGACGGCCCUAUGAGUUGUAAACUGCUUUUGUACGAGGGUAAAUCCCGAUACGUGUACCGGGUUGCAAGUAUCCUACGAAUAAGGAUCGGCUAACUCCGUGCCAGCAGCCGCGGUAAUACGGAGGAUUCAAGCGUUAUCCGGAUUUAUUGGGCUUAAAGGGAGCGUAGGCGGGCGUUCAAGUCAGCUGUAAAAUCGCGCGGCUCAACCGCCCCCCGCAGUUGAUACUGGACGCCUUGAGUUCACAACAGGCAGGCGGAAUUCGUGGGGUAGCGGUGAAAUGCAUAGAUAUCACGAGGAACCCCGAUUGCGAAGGCAGCCUGCCGGGGUGCGACUGACGCUGAGGCUCGAAGGUGCGGGUAUCAAACAGGAUUAGAUACCCCAGUAGUC
RNAcentral lists this ribosomal RNA (459 nucleotides) under uncultured bacterium. RNAcentral's name for it is "partial 16S ribosomal RNA". It matches the Rfam family "Bacterial small subunit ribosomal RNA", at positions 338 to 795 of the family's 1533-position model. The record is from RNAcentral.